CCGCUCAUGGUGCCGCCACGACGCCAUCGCGGGGCAGGAAGGCCAGGUAGGCAGGCAGGGAAGGGCCCCGACAUCACCGGAGCCCAAACCGGGACGGAGUGCCCACCAACAGCACCACCUCCUGCCCUUGGUGGCAGCCGGAGCGCCUUGACCGAAACCGUGAAGGUCUCCAGGGGCGGAGGGAGCGCUCCGGGAGCUGACAGGGGCGCCCCAGCCCUGCGCCCACCCCUGGCAAUUGAGGAAGCCGUGCGUGCGCCCUCGCCUCGGCUCCCCGGGGAGGCGUCACUGCCUUAACUGUCUUCCCCGCUCCAAAACAGGAGGAUUCCUUUUCCCAGCUGUUUCUUUUGAAAUGACUGGAUGUUUUGACAGAGGUGGGUGGAGGAGCGUGGAGAAUCCUUUUCUUUUACCACUUGAGGAUAUUGGAGAGGUGCCUUCAAGAUCCACAACAAAUCACUUACUCUCGGAUAACCAAAUUCCACUCCAGGAGAUCAGGGACAGAAAAGACACUUUUAGAAACAGUGUCUAGACACUGUCCCCGGGGAUGGAUUCCUCUGGGUGGAGAGGGGUGCUGAGUUCUUCACCUUUCAGACUGAGAUCUGCCAAGUUUUCCGGCAUUGCUCUUGAGGAUCUCAGAAAGGCUCUUAAGACCAGACUGCAAAUGGUGUGUGUGUUUAUCAUGAACCGAAUGAAUUCCCAGAACAGUGGUUUCACUCAGCGCAGGCGAAUGGCUCUUGGGAUUGUUAUUCUGCUGCUUGUUGAUGUGAUAUGGGUUGCUUCCUCCGAACUUACUUCGUACGUUUUUACCCAGUACAACAAACCGUUCUUCAGCACCUUUGCAAAAACAUCUAUGUUUGUUUUGUACCUUUUGGGCUUUAUUAUUUGGAAGCCAUGGAGACAACAGUGUACAAGAGGACUUCGCGGAAAGCAUGCUGCUUUUUUUGCAGAUGCUGAAGGUUACUUUGCUGCUUGCACAACAGAUACAACUAUGAACAGUUCUUUGAGUGAACCUCUGUAUGUUCCUGUGAAAUUCCAUGAUCUUCCAAGUGAAAAACCUGAGAGCACAAACAUUGAUACUGAAAAAACCCCCAAAAAGUCUCGUGUAAGGUUCAGUAAUAUCAUGGAGAUUCGACAGCUUCCGUCAAGCCAUGCAUUGGAAGCAAAGUUGUCUCGAAUGUCAUAUCCUGUGAAAGAACAAGAAUCCAUACUGAAAACUGUGGGGAAACUUACUGCAACUCAAGUAGCAAAAAUUAGCUUUUUUUUUUGCUUUGUGUGGUUUUUGGCAAAUUUGUCAUAUCAAGAAGCACUUUCAGACACACAAGUUGCUAUAGUUAAUAUUUUAUCUUCAACUUCUGGACUUUUUACCUUAAUCCUUGCUGCAGUAUUUCCAAGUAACAGUGGAGAUAGAUUUACCCUUUCUAAACUAUUAGCUGUAAUUUUAAGCAUUGGAGGUGUUGUACUGGUAAACCUGUCAGGGUCUGAAAAAUCUGCUGGAAGAGAUACAAUAGGUUCCAUUUGGUCUCUUGCUGGAGCCAUGCUCUAUGCUGUCUAUAUUGUUAUGAUUAAGAGAAAAGUAGAUAGAGAAGAUAAGUUGGAUAUUCCAAUGUUCUUUGGUUUUGUAGGUUUAUUUAAUCUGCUGCUCUUAUGGCCAGGUUUCUUUUUACUUCAUUAUACUGGAUUUGAGGACUUCGAGUUUCCCAAUAAAGUAGUAUUAAUGUGCAUUAUCAUUAAUGGCCUUAUUGGAACAGUACUCUCAGAGUUCCUGUGGUUGUGGGGCUGCUUUCUUACCUCAUCAUUGAUAGGCACACUUGCACUAAGCCUUACAAUACCUCUGUCCAUAAUAGCUGACAUGUGUAUGCAAAAGGUGCAGUUUUCUUGGUUAUUUUUUGCAGGAGCUAUCCCUGUAUUUUUUUCAUUUUUUAUUGUAACUCUCCUAUGCCAUUAUAAUAAUUGGGAUCCUGUGAUGGUGGGAAUCAGAAGAAUAUUUGCUUUUAUAUGCAGAAAACAUCGAAUUCAGAGAGUUCCAGAAGACAGCGAACAGUGUGAGAGUCUCAUUUCUAUGCACAGUGUUUCUCAGGAGGAUGGAGCUAGUUAGCUGUUGUCUGUAGCCCAGCACGAUAAUGGAACUAUACAGCGAAGAGACAAUCUCUGCACUUUGCUAUGUAGCUGUGUACAUAUCACUACAGUUCUAGGAAGUUCCAGUCUACAGUCCAUCCAAAGGACCAACUUGCCUUACACAUCUCAAGGAAUUCAGCUGUUGAAAUCAUUUGAACUAAUCAAGGAAUAAAUCCUAAUGUUCCGGGACUUUAUUUUCACAUACUUGUUAAAUGCUGGAAUAUAUUAUAAAAAUGUUUUCAAGAAAUCACUUAAGUGUUCAUAGACCAGUGUUUCUGACAGGUAAAAUGCUAAAAUAAGCUACCUGUAGUAAGUAUGGAUGGUAUUUUUGGGUUUUGUUGAAUAUUGCAAAUUAACCACACAAAAAAUGUUUAAUUUAUGCAACAAGCAUGUUUGUGCAAAUUUCGUGGAACUUUAAAAAGAAUAAAUAUUUGAGAAAAUAUCUGAUUCACUUACACUACAUUUACUGUAUUAUUCUUUUAUAGCAUUAGGUGCCUUGUAUUUUAAAUCUGUGACAAACCAUGGCAAAUUUUUAAAGGGGAAGUAUUAUUAUAAAAUGAAGAAAUAUGUAUUUCUAAAGGCUAUAUUGCUGUAAACUUAAUUGAUAAAGCUCUGUUUAAUUUAGAGUUUUGAAGAAAUAGUCUCCCUUCAAUUAAGAAAUUUUCAUAAUGGAAUGAUUUAAAUUGAAGUGACAAAGAGUAUUAUUAAAAUAAAAUGUUUAUAUGUGUAUUUGUGUAUUAUAGAUGUAUCAAGUGAUUUCUAAUUUUUUCUCAUAUGAAUAUGCCAGAUUACUCUAGAACUAGAUGCCUCUUCUUUAAAUAAUUUUAGUUUUCCUGAAUAAAUUUGUAAUGGUUAAAGUACCAAGGAAGGAAGGCGAGAAGGGAUUCUGUUUUUAAAAUCACAUCUGAACUGUUCCUCUGCUAAGAUUAAAUUAAAUGUGAAAUACUCGUAAUUGCAAUUCUUAAACUUAGGCACAUGUGCUCACUGUGCACCUGCUCCUGGACUCUGUUCACCAUAGUACCAGUAAAUGUGUGUCCCAGGAUUCACAGGCUUUUGAUUAAUCAAUAUUCUUUUCAAGUUUUCUGUGAAUAGUUUAGUUCUCUUCAAAAUUUCUUAACUAAUCUGAUUUUUAAGAAUUCAGUUUGCAGUGUUUAGCUUCCUAUUCACAUUCUUAAAAUUGCUUUGGUGUUACUAUGAGUCAAAAAUGAAGUUUAGCCUUCCUUCUGCUUCAUUCUGAGAACUUCUUUAUUACCUUUAAAAAUUGUUCAUGAUAUUAAAUUUAAAAUACAAACAGCUCUCUCUCUCUCUCUCUUUUUUAAUCAUCCAGCCCAAAGUGGCAAAAACAGCUCUUUUCUCAUGUGACACCACCAAUAACGCAAGUUAAAAAUAAUGUUGAGUUUAUUAUACUUUUGACCUGUUUAGCUCAACAGGGUGAAGGCAUGUAAAGAAUGUGGACUUCUGAGGAAUUUUCUUUUAAAAAGAACUUAAGGAAGUAACAUUUUAAUUACUAAAGGACUACUUUUGGUUGAAGUUUAUUAUCUAGAUACCUCUACUUUUUGUUUUUGCUGUUCGAUAGUUCACAAAGACCUUCAGCAAUUUACAGGGUAAAAUAGUUGAAGUAGUGGUGGUGAAACUGAAAUUUAAAAUUAUUCUGUAAAUGCGAUAGAGAAAGAAGCUGAGCUUAGAAUCUUUUGGUUGUUCAUGUGCUCUGUGCUCCUCUCAUCACACAGGUCAUGUGUUGUCACUCAGGAUUCUGGAAGUACUAAGCCGUAGUUAACAGGCUGGAUAGAUCUUCAGGCAAUCUUCUUCCAGUAUACUGCUGCUUUUCUGUUUCUUAAAACAAAAAAUCAAAGAACAACUUCUUUAGAAGGAAGCACCACCACUCAAUUGGUUAACUGAAAGUAUGAAUCACUGCUGCUUCGCUUGCCCACCUGUUCUCUUUUUCUCACGGUUUUAUUUCUCGGAAUGAUUGUUGCAUUUGAAUACUGUAGCCAUGGUGAGUGAGCAGUUGAAGACUUCCUUUCUGCACCUUCAUAGUUAAGGGUUCAUCUUCUCACGAAAUAAAGUUGUGCUGGGUUGCUUCAAUUCUGUGGAUUGCCUGGAAACUAGGUAACAAGGCCCUUAGAUCACAACAACCACGUUGCAGGUCUUUGGAAAUGCUGGGAAGGGGUUACAUUCAAGUAACUGCUGACAUCCUUCCUGUCUAUCAGAACCAUGUUGGCCUGUAAUUAUAUUUUUCUGAAUCUAAAAACAAAUAGAAAUUUCUG
Molecule: RNA transcript, 4379 nt
Organism: Mandrillus leucophaeus (drill)
Lineage: Eukaryota; Metazoa; Chordata; Mammalia; Primates; Cercopithecidae
Gene: SLC35F5
Gene name: solute carrier family 35, member F5
Exons: 17
Source: RefSeq, a predicted model, not a curated record